Molecule: ribosomal RNA, 463 nt
Filed under: uncultured bacterium
Lineage: Bacteria
Description: partial 16S ribosomal RNA
Rfam family: Bacterial small subunit ribosomal RNA
Source: RNAcentral
GAUGAACGCUGACAGAAUGCUUAACACAUGCAAGUCGAUGGGGAAGUGGUGCUUGCACCAUGGCAACCAUGGCGGACGGGUGAGUAACGCGUAAGGGACUUACCUGCAGGACUGGGAUAACAGGGGGAAACUCCUGACAAGACCGGAUAAUGUCAUGGAGCUGCAUGGCUUUAUGAUGAAAGGAGACGCCUGCGGAGAGCCUUGCGUCCUAUUAGCUAGUUGGUGAGGUAAUGGCUCACCAAGGCGAAGAUAGGUAGCCGGCCUGAGAGGGUGGACGGCCACAAGGGGACUGAGAUGCCGCCCUUACUCCUACGGGAGGCAGCAGUGGGGAAUAUUGGACAAUGGGGGCAACCCUGAUCCAGCAAUUCUGUGUGCACGAAGAAGGUUUUCGGAUUGUAAAGUGCUUUCAGCAGGGAAGAAGUAAGUGACGGUACCUGCAGAAGAAGCGACGGCUAAAUACGUG